This 468-nucleotide ribosomal RNA is filed under the name uncultured bacterium. RNAcentral's name for it is "partial 16S ribosomal RNA". It matches the Rfam family "Bacterial small subunit ribosomal RNA", at positions 28 to 507 of the family's 1533-position model. The record is from RNAcentral.
GACGAACGCUGGCGGCGUGCUUAACACAUGCCAGUCGAACGGAAAGGCCCUGCGUUUGUGGGGUGCUCGAGUGGCGAACGGGUGAGUAACACGUGAGUAACCUGCCCUUGACUGUGGGAUAACUUCAGGAAACUGGGGCUAAUACCGGAUAGGAGCUCCUGCUGCAUGGGGGGGGUUGGAAAGUUUCGGCGGUUGGGGAUGGACUCGCGGCUUAUCAGCUUGUUGGUGGGGUAGUGGCUUACCAAGGCUUUGACGGGUAGCCGGCAUGAGAGGGUGACCGGCCACCAUGGGCCUGAGAUACGGCCCAGACUCCUACGGGAGGCAGCAGUGGGGAAUCUUGCACAAUGGGCGGAAGCCUGAUGCAGCAACGCCGCGUGCGGGAUGCCGGCCUUCGGGUUGUAAACCGAUUUCGCCUGUGACGAAGCGUGAGUGACGGUAAUGGGUAAAGAAGCACCGGCUAACUACGUG